Gopherus flavomarginatus (Mexican gopher tortoise) is the source of this 835-nucleotide long non-coding RNA. RefSeq lists it as uncharacterized. The transcript is spliced from 2 exons. Lineage: Eukaryota; Metazoa; Chordata; Testudines; Testudinidae. The record is from RefSeq and is a predicted model, not a curated record.
CCUGCUGAAAGGCCUGAGCGUAGACUGUGUGUGUUGCCCCGCCCUGCCUUAGGGCCUGGGCCACUUGCUAACUGUUGUGGGUUCACUCCGCCCCACAGCAAGGGACGGGACCUGAGUCAACAGAGUGCUGUGGGCCGGUAUGGCUCCCCUCCGCCCGCAAGGAGGGUUCAGCCCCGGCGCCGCUCUACUGCAGGUUGUAUCAGCUGUGAUGCUGUUAAGAGUAAGACCCUGCAGCUGCUCCUGCUCAGUACUCCUAACACAAGCCAGAUAGGUGACCUGAUGGAUCACACCAUGCCUGAUUGCCUGAGGAAGCUAGCAGGAAUUGGAAAAACUUGGAGGUGAUGAAGGGAGACAAAUUUGUCUACUGAAAAGUAUCCCUGGAAUAUUUGUAUUAACUUGAUUUAACAUCUCUUAAUACUCCUAAAACUAAAUAUUCAAGUGAAGGAACAAAUGUUUAGAUGAAGGACCCUGCUUUUGUUGAGGUUAAUGAGAGUUUUGCUAUAGAAUUCAAUGGCAGCAAGAUCAACCCUAAAUUUGUUUAUCAGGACUGUAACUUACUUCAGGCUGCUACAUAGGAUUUAAAAGGUCUGUUACUUACACUUCGCUCUUAUCUUCACCUAGAUGUGUGGUCUGAGUCUAUAAUGCUUAACUGAGAGGAUGGGGGUGGGAGGGGUGAGGGAGAGAGAGUGGUGUGUUAUCUAUCAGUUAUGCCUCUUUGUGUAUCCCUGGAUUUGCUGGAACCUUGAGCUCUGUAAACAGCAAUGGGAAAAGUAAAUAAACUUGUGUUUAAAUGAAUCAAUGACAUAUGAAGCAAUAAAACUAGCACAACAGCACA